Molecule: ribosomal RNA, 254 nt
Filed under: uncultured bacterium
Lineage: Bacteria
Description: partial 16S ribosomal RNA
Rfam family: Bacterial small subunit ribosomal RNA
Source: RNAcentral
UACGGAGGAUCCGAGCGUUAUCCGGAUUUAUUGGGUUUAAAGGGUGCGUAGGCGGCCUGUUAAGUCAGGGGUGAAAGACGGUAGCUCAACUAUCGCAGUGCCCUUGAUACUGAUGGCUAGAAUGUACUAGAGGCAGGCGGAAUGUGACAAGUAGCGGUGAAAUGCAUAGAUAUGUCACAGAACACCAAUUGCGAAAGGCAGCCUUGCUAUGGUAUAAUUGACGCUGAGGCACGAAAGCGUGGGGAUCAAACAGG